UAGUUCGGGAUAGCCACUGGAAACGGUGAUUAAUACCGGAUACUCCUUCUUGUUAUAAGACAAGUCGGGAAAGUUUUUCGCUAAGGGAUCAGUCUAUGUUCCAUCAGCUUGUUGGCGAGGUAAUGGCUCACCAAGGCUAUGACGGAUAUCUGGUUUGAGAGGAUGAUCAGACACACUGGGACUGAGACACGGUCCAGACUCCUACGGGAGGCAGCAGUGAGGAAUAUUGCACAAUGGAGGAAACUCUGAUGCAGCAACGCCGCGUGGAGGAUGACGCAUUUCGGUGUGUAAACUCCUUUUAUUAGGGAAGAUAAUGACGGUACCUAAUGAAUAAGCACCGGCUAACUCCGUGCCAGCAGCCGCGGUAAUACGGAGGGUGCAAGCGUUACUCGGAAUCACUGGGCGUAAAGGGUGCGUAGGCUGGCUUUUAAGUCAGAUGUGAAAUCAAAUGGCUCAACCAUUGAACUGCAUUUGAAACUGAAAGCCUAGAGUUCAGAAGGGGCAGAUGGAAUUAGUGGUGUAGGGGUAAAAUCCGUAGAUAUCACUAGGAAUAUCAAAAGCGAAGGCGAUCUGCUGGGAUGAUACUGAC
RNAcentral lists this ribosomal RNA (589 nucleotides) under uncultured bacterium. RNAcentral describes it as "bacterial SSU rRNA". It matches the Rfam family "Bacterial small subunit ribosomal RNA", at positions 134 to 744 of the family's 1533-position model. The record is from RNAcentral.